RNAcentral lists this transfer RNA (64 nucleotides) under Doa sp. MJT-2014. RNAcentral describes it as "tRNA-Thr". It matches the Rfam family "tRNA". Rfam says of the family: Transfer RNA (tRNA) molecules are approximately 80 nucleotides in length. The record is from RNAcentral. Lineage: Eukaryota; Metazoa; Arthropoda; Insecta; Lepidoptera; Doidae.
GUUUUUAUAGUUUAAAUAAAACAUUGGUCUUGUAAACCAAAAAUAAAAAUAUUUUUUAAAAACU